This 906-nucleotide ribosomal RNA is filed under the name Pestalotiopsis funereoides. RNAcentral describes it as "LSU rRNA". It matches the Rfam family "Eukaryotic large subunit ribosomal RNA", at positions 33 to 951 of the family's 3401-position model. The record is from RNAcentral. Lineage: Eukaryota; Fungi; Ascomycota; Sordariomycetes; Amphisphaeriales; Sporocadaceae.
CUUUAGCAUAUCAAUAAGCGCAGGUCAUAGAAAACAAACCAGGGAUGCCUUAGUAACGCGCGAGUGAAGCGGCAACAGCUCACAUUUGAAAUCUGGCCCUCGGGUCCCGAAUUGUAAUUUGUAGAGGAUGAUUUUGGUGCGGUAUCUUCCGAGUUCCUUGGAACAGGACGCCUUAGAGGGUGAGAGCCCCGUACGGUUGAAUGCCUAGCCUCUGUAAAUCUCCUUCGACGAGUCGAGUAGUUUGGGAAUGCUGCUCUAAAUGGGAGGUAAAUUUCUUCUAAAGCUAAAUAUUGGCCAGAGACCGAUAGCGCACAAGUAGAGUGAUCGAAAGAUGAAAAGCACUUUGAAAAGAGGGUUAAAUAGCACGUGAAAUUGUUGAAAGGGAAGGAUUUGUGACCAGACUUUUUCUGGGCGGAUCAUCCGGGGUUCUCUCCGGUGCACUUUGCCCAGUAAAGGCCAGCAUCGAUUUUCGGCGGCGGAUAAAAGCAGUGGGAAUGUGGCUCCCCACGGGGAGUGUUAUAGCCCAUUGUAUAAUACGCUGCUGGGGAUCGAGGUACGCGCUUCUGCAAGGAUGCUGGCGUAAUGGUUAUCAAUCACCCGUCUUGAAACACGGACCAAGGAGUCGAACAUUUAUGCGAGUGUUUGGGUGUUAAACCCUCACGCGUAAUGAAAGUGAACGGAGGUGAGAGCCCGUACGGGUGCAUCAUCGACCGAUCCUGAAGUUUUCGGAUGGAUUUGAGUAAGAGCAUAACUGUUCGGACCCGAAAGAUGGUGAACUAUGCGUGGAUAGGGUGAAGCCAGAGGAAACUCUGGUGGAGGCUCGCAGCGGUUCUGACGAUGCAAAUCGAUCGUCAAAUCGUGCGCAUGGGGGCGAAAAAGACUAAGUCGUAUUCGAUCUAGAUGAGC